Molecule: ribosomal RNA, 483 nt
Filed under: uncultured bacterium
Lineage: Bacteria
Description: partial 16S ribosomal RNA
Rfam family: Bacterial small subunit ribosomal RNA
Source: RNAcentral
AUUGAACGCUGGCGGCAGGCCUAACACAUGCAAGUCGAGCGGAUGAAGGGAGCUUGCUCCUGGAUUCAGCGGCGGACGGGUGAGUAAUGCCUAGGAAUCUGCCUGGUAGUGGGGGAUAACGUCCGGAAACGGGCGCUAAUACCGCAUACGUCCUGAGGGAGAAAGUGGGGGAUCUUCGGACCUCACGCUAUCAGAUGAGCCUAGGUCGGAUUAGCUAGUUGGUGGGGUAAAGGCCUACCAAGGCGACGAUCCGUAACUGGUCUGAGAGGAUGAUCAGUCACACUGGAACUGAGACACGGUCCAGACUCCUACGGGAGGCAGCAGUGGGGAAUAUUGGAAAAUGGGCGAAAGCCUGAUCCAGCCAUGCAGCGUGUGUGAAGAAGGUCUGCGGAUUGUAAAGCACUUUAAGUUGGGAGGAAGGGCAGUAAGUUAAUACCUUGCUGUUUGGACGUGACCAACAGAAUAAGCACCGGCGAACUUCGU